RNAcentral lists this ribosomal RNA (455 nucleotides) under uncultured bacterium. Its description in RNAcentral is "bacterial SSU rRNA". It matches the Rfam family "Bacterial small subunit ribosomal RNA", at positions 28 to 496 of the family's 1533-position model. The record is from RNAcentral.
GACGAACGCUGGCGGCGCGCCUAACACAUGCAAGUCGAACGAGCGAGAGAGAGCUUGCUUUCUCGAGCGAGUGGCGAACGGGUGAGUAACGCGUGAGGAACCUGCCUCAAAGAGGGGGACAACAGUUGGAAACGACUGCUAAUACCGCAUAAGCCCACGGGUCGGCAUCGACCAGAGGGAAAAGGAGCAAUCCGCUUUGAGAUGGCCUCGCGUCCGAUUAGCUAGUUGGUGAGGUAACGGCCCACCAAGGCAACGAUCGGUAGCCGGACUGAGAGGUUGAACGGCCACAUUGGGACUGAGACACGGCCCAGACUCCUACGGGAGGCAGCAGUGGGGAAUAUUGCACAAUGGGGGAAACCCUGAUGCAGCGACGCCGCGUGGAGGAAGAAGGUCUUCGGAUUGUAAACUCCUGUUGUUGAGGAAGAUAAUGACGGUACUCAACAAGGAAGUGACGG